This 414-nucleotide ribosomal RNA is filed under the name uncultured microorganism. Its description in RNAcentral is "bacterial SSU rRNA". It matches the Rfam family "Archaeal small subunit ribosomal RNA", at positions 459 to 872 of the family's 1478-position model. The record is from RNAcentral.
CAGCCGCCGCGGUAAUACCGGCGGCCCGAGUGGCGGUCACUAUUAUUGGGCUUAAAGCGUCCGUAGCCGGGUUGGGAAGUCCUCCGGGAAAUCUGGCCGCUUAACGGUCAGAAUGCCGGAGGAUACUCCCAGCCUAGGGAGCGGGCGAGGCCGAGGGGAUUCCCGGAGUAGGGGGGAAAUCCUAUAAUCCCGGGAGGACCACCUGUGGCGAAGGCGCUCGGCUGGAACGCGUCCGACGGUGAGGGACGAAGGCCAGGGGAGCAAACCGGAUUAGAUACCCGGGUAGUCCUGGCGGUAAACGAUGCGGACUUUGUGUCGGACAAGCUAUGAGCUUGUCCGGUGCCGGAGGGAAACCGUUAAGUCCGCCGCCUGGGGAGUACGGCCGCAAGGCUGAAACUUAAAGGAAUUGGCGGG